GUCUAAGUCGGUGCGAGCAGGUGGGGUAAAGAGAAGGGUGCAAACGUUGCGGGGGAUGAUGGGGCGGAAAGCGGACGUAGGCGGCUUUGCAAGUCGGAGGUGAAAUCCCUCGGCUUAACCAAGGAAGUGCAUCCGAAACUGCAGAGCUUGAGUACGAAAGAGGAUCGCGGAAUUCCCGGUGUAGAGGUGAAAUUCGUAGAUAUCGGGAGGAACACCAGUGGCGAAGGCGGCGAUCUGGGUCGAUACUGACGCUGAGGUGCGAAAGCGUGGGGAGCAAACAGGAUUAGAUACCCGGGUAUC
Molecule: ribosomal RNA, 300 nt
Filed under: uncultured Halogeometricum sp.
Lineage: Archaea; Methanobacteriati; Methanobacteriota; Halobacteria; Halobacteriales; Haloferacaceae
Description: bacterial SSU rRNA
Rfam family: Bacterial small subunit ribosomal RNA
Source: RNAcentral